This 1272-nucleotide ribosomal RNA is filed under the name Megacalanus sp. 44 CWD-2021. Its description in RNAcentral is "SSU rRNA". It matches the Rfam family "Eukaryotic small subunit ribosomal RNA", at positions 452 to 1750 of the family's 1831-position model. Lineage: Eukaryota; Metazoa; Arthropoda; Copepoda; Calanoida; Megacalanidae. The record is from RNAcentral.
CCGAAGGUCGAGGUAGUGACGAAAAUAACGAUACGGGACUCAUCUGAGGCCCCGUAAUCGGAAUGAGUACACUUUAAAACCGUCCCCGAGGAUCUAUUGGAGGGCAAGUCUGGUGCCAGCAGCCGCGGUAAUUCCAGCUCCAAUAGCGUAUAUUAAAGUUGUUGUGGUUAAAAAGCUCGUAGUUGGAUCUCGGCGGUCUGAGGGCGGUUCACUUGCUAGUGCUACUGCCCUAUAGACCGUAGUUUUGCCAGAGGUCUCAGGGUGCUCUUAAUCGAGUGUCUUGUGAUGCUGGCAGGUUUACUUUGAAAAAAUUAGAGUGCUCAAAGCAGGCUUUUACGCCUGAAUAUUCGUGCAUGGAAUAAUAGAAUAGGAAGUCGUUUCUAUUUUGUUGGUUUUCGGAAAUCGACUUAAUGAUUAAUAGGGACAGUCGGGGGCAUUUGUAUUCAAACGACAGAGGUGAAAUUCUUGGACCGUUUGAAGACAAACUACUGCGAAAGCAUUUGCCAAGAAUGUUUUCAUUAAUCAAGAACGAAAGUUAGAGGUUCGAAGGCGAUUAGAUACCGCCCUAGUUCUAACCAUAAACGAUGCCAGCUAGCGAUCUGCCGACGUUUUUUUUGUAGACUCGGCAGGAAGCUUCCGGGAAACCAAAGCAUUUGGGUUCCAGGGGAAGUAUGGUUGCAAAGCUGAAACUUAAAGGAAUUGACGGAAGGGCACCACCAGGAGUGGAGCCUGUGGCUUAAUUUGACUCAACACGGGAAAUCUCACCAGGCCCGGACACUGGAAGGAUUGACAGAUUGAUAGCUCUUUCUUGAUUCGGUGGGUGGUGGUGCAUGGCCGUUCUUAGUUGGUGGAGUGAUUUGUCUGGUUAAUUCCGAUAACGAACGAGACUCUGUCCUGCUAAAUAGUGUCCGCCUCUCUUCUGGGCGGACAAUUCUUCUUAGAGGGACUGGCGACUCUCAGUCGCACGAGAUUGAGCAAUAACAGGUCUGUGAUGCCCUUAGAUGUUCUGGGCCGCACACGCGCUACACUGAAUAGAUCAACGUGUUCCCCCUGUCCGAGAGGACCGGGUAAACCGCUGAACCCUAUUCGUGGUAGGGAUCGGGGCUUGCAAUUGUUCCCCGUAAACCAGGAAUUCCCAGUAGGCGCAAGUCAUAAGCUUGUGUCGAUUACGUCCCUGCCCUUUGUACACACCGCCCGUCGCUACUACCGAUUGAACGUUUUAGUGAGGUCCUCGGACUGUUUGGUAGGCGGAUUGCUCCGCCUGCCUGGCGG